AGAAAGUGCUAGGCACGUAGGCGUUCAGGAGACAGUCACGGUACUCGUUUCCAGACAGAAGUCAUGAGGAACAAGAGGGAAGGUGCUUUCCCGUGUGCAGCGCUUGGGGAGACUCACACAGACAGAGGAUCUGGCAUGACAGGGAAAGGAGGAAAUGGCUUCUGUUAAUCUCUCCUUCAGCUUCUCCCGCCCUUCCCAUGCACUCUUCCUGUUUCCCUUUCCAGUUCUCACGGUGACUCAAGGAACAACGUGUGAAAUGAAAGACCUCAGGUGCUGUAUUGGCUCUUGACAGCUCUUCAGAAGAAAAUACCUCCUGCCUGUUCUGUUCAGUCCUGGUGCAGCUUCCAGGAAGCCAAAUGACCCACCGGCUUACCCACAUCGCAGGAAGCUUUGGAGCAGAGUCAGUGACUAUGUGAACCUGCCUCAACCUCUGCUCCCUGGUUCAGCAUUUGGCUUGGGAAAAAUGACACUAUUUCCUGUCUCUUAAACAUUAUUUCAAGGCACAGGUCUUCCACCAUUCUGAGAGGCAGGGGGAUCUUUGAGUUCUGCCAGGAGCUGGGGGUUAGGGGUA
This 571-nucleotide long non-coding RNA is filed under the name Homo sapiens (human). Its description in RNAcentral is "non-protein coding LINC00881:4". The record is from RNAcentral. Lineage: Eukaryota; Metazoa; Chordata; Mammalia; Primates; Hominidae.